RNAcentral lists this transfer RNA (91 nucleotides) under Sulfolobales archaeon HS-7. It matches the Rfam family "tRNA". From Rfam's summary of the family: Transfer RNA (tRNA) molecules are approximately 80 nucleotides in length. Their secondary structure includes four short double-helical elements and three loops (D, anti-codon, and T loops). The record is from Rfam by way of RNAcentral. Lineage: Archaea; Thermoproteati; Thermoproteota; Thermoprotei; Sulfolobales.
GGGCCCGUAGCUCAGCUCGGUAGAGCGCCCGGCUCAUAUUCUAAUAGAACGGGAGACCGGGUGGUCCUGGGUUCGAAUCCCAGCGGGCCCA